UCGGUAUGUACUGGCUUUACUGAUUCCUCCUUCUUGACGAACUGUGAUGUCAUUAAUUUGGUGUUGCGGGAAAUCAGAACUGUUACUUUGAAAAAAUUAGAGUGUUUAAAGCAGGCUAACGCUUGAAUACAUUAGCAUGGAAUAAUGAAAUAGGACGUUAAUCCUAUUUUGUUGGUUUCUAGGAUCGACGUAAUGAUUAAUAGGGAUAGUUGGGGGCAUUAGUAUUCAAUUGUCAGAGGUGAAAUUCUUGGAUUUAUUGAAGACUAACUACUGCGAAAGCAUUUGCCAAGGAUGUUUUCAUUAAUCAAGAACGAAAGUUAGGGGAUCGAAAACAAUCAGAUACCGUCGUAGUCUUAACCAUAAACUAUGCC
This 371-nucleotide ribosomal RNA is filed under the name uncultured Glomeromycotina. Its description in RNAcentral is "SSU rRNA". It matches the Rfam family "Eukaryotic small subunit ribosomal RNA", at positions 670 to 1043 of the family's 1831-position model. Lineage: Eukaryota; Fungi; Glomeromycota. The record is from RNAcentral.